ACGCUGGCGGCGUGCCUAACACAUGCAAGUCGUACGAGAAAGUUGGCUUCGGCCGGUGAGUAAAGUGGCGCACGGGUGAGUAACGCGUGGAUAAUCUGCCCUCCGGUCAGGAAUAACCAAUCGAAAGGUUGGCUAAUACCCGAUCACACUCUUGCACUGCGGUGCAAUAGUCAAAGAUGGCCUCUGUAUACAAGCUAUCGCCGGGGGAUGAGUCCGCGUACCAUUAGCUGGUUGGUGGGGUAAUGGCCUACCAAGGCGAUGAUGGUUAGCUGGUCUGAGGGGAUGGCCAGCCACACUGGAACUGAGACACGGUCCAGACUCCUACGGGAGGCAGCAGUGAGGAAUCUUGCGCAAUGGGGGAAACCCUGACGCAGCAACGCCGCGUGAGUGAGGAAGGCCCUCGGGUCGUAAAGCUCUGUCAGGUGGGAAGAAAUCGAUGAAGGUGAACAACCUCCAUCCUUGACGGUACCACCAGAGGAAGCACCGGCUAACUCCGUG
This 498-nucleotide ribosomal RNA is filed under the name uncultured bacterium. RNAcentral describes it as "bacterial SSU rRNA". It matches the Rfam family "Bacterial small subunit ribosomal RNA", at positions 33 to 507 of the family's 1533-position model. The record is from RNAcentral.